CUUGCUGCCUUUAAUAUUCUUUCAGUAUUUUGAAUGAGAUGAAGUUGGUACCAUUCAAUGCUGACCUUCCUGAGAUGUUUACCAGGUUUGGAUCACCAAGGCCAUCAUCUUGCUGACAUUUCCACCUUCCCUAGGGAACUCUAAGCUCCCCCUAACAUAAGUUCUAGAUUCUUCAUCACACACAGCAACUCUGAAAAACCAAGACAUUUUCCUUGUUCUUCCCUUGUUGAGGCACAUUUCCAAGUGGAAUAUAAGGUUAAAGACCUUCUAUCUUUCAUGGUCAGCAACAUUAAGGAAUUGGAUAUAUGCAUCCCUGUGUACUCAGUAGCAAUAUGGUUUCCAUUCAAUCUCUACAUGCACU
Molecule: non-coding RNA, 361 nt
Organism: Phascolarctos cinereus (koala)
Lineage: Eukaryota; Metazoa; Chordata; Mammalia; Diprotodontia; Phascolarctidae
Source: RefSeq, a predicted model, not a curated record